GGACCUGUGGCCGAGUUGGUCGAUGGCGUCGGACUCUUAAUCCGCCUGCGCAAGCACACCGUGAGUUCGAAUCUCACCGGGUCCUCCA
RNAcentral lists this transfer RNA (88 nucleotides) under Mesorhizobium phage Cp1R7A-A1. RNAcentral's name for it is "tRNA-Lys". It matches the Rfam family "tRNA". Rfam says of the family: Transfer RNA (tRNA) molecules are approximately 80 nucleotides in length. Their secondary structure includes four short double-helical elements and three loops (D, anti-codon, and T loops). Lineage: Duplodnaviria; Heunggongvirae; Uroviricota; Caudoviricetes. The record is from RNAcentral.